RNAcentral lists this ribosomal RNA (292 nucleotides) under uncultured bacterium. RNAcentral describes it as "partial 16S ribosomal RNA". It matches the Rfam family "Bacterial small subunit ribosomal RNA", at positions 505 to 796 of the family's 1533-position model. The record is from RNAcentral.
GUGCCAGCAGCCGCGGUAAUACGUAGGGUGCGAGCGUUAAUCGGAAUUACUGGGCGUAAAGCGUGCGCAGGCGGUUUUGUAAGACAGACGUGAAAUCCCCGGGCUCAACCUGGGAAUGGCGUUUGUGACUGCAAAGCUGGAGUGCGGCAGAGGGGGAUGGAAUUCCGCGUGUAGCAGUGAAAUGCGUAGAUAUGCGGAGGAACACCGAUGGCGAAGGCAAUCCCCUGGGCCUGCACUGACGCUCAUGCACGAAAGCGUGGGGAGCAAACAGGAUUAGAUACCCUAGUAGUCC